UACUUAUCAACAUCCCCUCCCAUAGUUCACGGAGAUGUAAAAUCUCCAAACAUUCUCCGAGGCGACAACCACACAGCAAAAGUGACUGAUUUUGGAGCAUCAAGAAAAAUUCCUACGGAUGAAAUACAAUUUAUGACAAUGGUACAGCGAACUAUAGGUUAUCUUGACCCUGAAUACUUGCAAGAGCGUCAACUAACAGAGAAGAGUGAUGUUUAUAGUUUCGGAGUUGUGCUCCUAGAGCUGAUUACAAUGAAGUUUGCAAUUUAUUCUGACAGUGCUGGAGAAAAGAAAAACCUUGCAUCAUCCUUCCUUCUGACAAUGAAAGAAAGCGAACUUCAAUUCAUCUAGGACAAGAAUAUAUUGGAAUUUGAAAUGAAGCUGCUCCAAGAAAUUGCUCAAUUGGCAAAGUGUUGCUUGAGUACGAGGGGGCAGGAACAGCCGUUAAUGAGAGAAGUCGCUGAGAGGUUGAGACCAAUACGAAGCACCUGGAGAGAACAAUUGACUCAGAAUCCUAGCAAGGAAACUGAAUGUUUGCUUGAGAACUCGUCACACUAUGACCCUUCUAGCACUGGACAGCACGGAAGUCUGAUGGCGCUAGAUUUAGAAAGUGGUAGAUGA
RNAcentral lists this ribosomal RNA (618 nucleotides) under Triticum aestivum (bread wheat). RNAcentral describes it as "partial small subunit ribosomal RNA". The record is from RNAcentral. Lineage: Eukaryota; Viridiplantae; Streptophyta; Magnoliopsida; Poales; Poaceae.